CAGCGAAGUUAGGUGGGGAGCUCGUCCUGCCCUAUGUGGCAUAGCCACAUGCGCAAACGGACGUUAUGGCGCACCGAAACUCGUGAGCGGUGUAUCAGGUUUGCGAAGGUCCUGAUAUUCGACUGAGAAGCUUCGCCUCAUAGGAUUGUAUGUGCAUCGAACCGCGUGAGGCGGGGAACCGAGCAACGCUAAGAUGUACAUGCGAUGCUUAUGAGAUCACGAAGUGGAGAAGAAUAUUGGGGUAAACCUUUCAAGUCUGGUGCAUCCAUCGCGAGUGCACUUCGCUG
Molecule: signal recognition particle RNA, 287 nt
Rfam family: Archaeal signal recognition particle RNA